RNAcentral lists this ribosomal RNA (517 nucleotides) under Bacillus sp. (in: firmicutes). Its description in RNAcentral is "bacterial SSU rRNA". It matches the Rfam family "Bacterial small subunit ribosomal RNA", at positions 22 to 512 of the family's 1533-position model. The record is from RNAcentral. Lineage: Bacteria; Bacillati; Bacillota; Bacilli; Caryophanales; Bacillaceae.
GCUCAGGAUGAACGCUGGCGGCGUGCCUAAUACAUGCAAGUCGAGCGAAUGGAUUGAGAGCUUGCUCUCAAGAAGUUAGCGGCGGACGGGUGAGUAACACGUGGGUAACCUGCCCAUAAGACUGGGAUAACUCCGGGAAACCGGGGCUAAUACCGGAUAACAUUUUGAACUGCAUGGUUCGAAAUUGAAAGGCGGCUUCGGCUGUCACUUAUGGAUGGACCCGCGUCGCAUUAGCUAGUUGGUGAGGUAACGGCUCACCAAGGCAACGAUGCGUAGCCGACCUGAGAGGGUGAUCGGCCACACUGGGACUGAGACACGGCCCAGACUCCUACGGGAGGCAGCAGUAGGGAAUCUUCCGCAAUGGACGAAAGUCUGACGGAGCAACGCCGCGUGAGUGAUGAAGGCUUUCGGGUCGUAAAACUCUGUUGUUAGGGAAGAACAAGUGCUAGANNNUANUUGAAUAAGCUGGCACCUUGACGGUACCUAACCAGAAAGCCACGGCUAACUACGUGCCAGC